CCCUGGAACUGCCUUUAAUACUGCUAGUCUUGAGUUCGAGAGAGGUAAGUGGAAUUCCGAGUGUAGAGGUGAAAUUCGUAGAUAUUCAGAGGAACACCAGUGGCGAAGGCGGCUUACUGGCUCGAUACUGACGAUGAGGUGCGAAAGUGUGGGGAGCAAACAGGAUUAGAUACCCUGGUAGUCCACACCGUAAACGAUGAAUGCCAGACGUCAGCAAGUAUACUUGAUGGUGUCACACCURACGGAUUAAGCAUUCCGMCUGAGGAGUACGGUCGCAAGAUUAAAACUCAAAGGAAUUGACGGGGGCCCGCACAAGCGGUGGAGCAUGUGGUAUAAUUCGAAGCAACGUGCAGAACCUUACCAACCCUUGACUAUCAUGUGCUACUACCAGAGAUGGUACGUUCCCUUCGGGGAGGCAGUGACAGGUGGUGCAUGGCUGUCGUCAGCUA
RNAcentral lists this ribosomal RNA (449 nucleotides) under uncultured Alphaproteobacteria bacterium. RNAcentral's name for it is "bacterial SSU rRNA". It matches the Rfam family "Bacterial small subunit ribosomal RNA", at positions 613 to 1061 of the family's 1533-position model. The record is from RNAcentral. Lineage: Bacteria; Pseudomonadati; Pseudomonadota; Alphaproteobacteria.